AUGGAACCAACGUACCUCCGGGGCCAGGCCGGACCACUACUCUGGAGUCCAGGAAACCAUGUGCCAUCACGCUUAGCUAAUUUUUGUAGUUUUUGUGAGAUGGAUUCUUACCAUGUUGUCCAGGCUGGUCUGGAACUCCUGGACUCCAGUGUUCGGCUUGCCUCGGCCUACCAAAGUGCUGGGAUUACAGGAGUGAGCCACUGCACCCGGCUGUCUUUCCAUUUCUUCGGCAUCCUCUUCCAUUUUUUUCAUCAGUGCUUUGUAUUCCUUAUAAAGGUAUUUUACUUCCUUGGUUAAAUUUAUACCCAGGUAUUUUAUUUCAUUUUAUAGCUGUUGUCAAUUGGAUUGCCUUGUUGAUUUCUUUAUCAACUAUUUAAUUUUUCAUAUAUAGGAGCACCACUGAUUUUUGUAUAUUAAUUUUUUAUCUUACAACUGCACUAAAUUUGUUUAUCACUGCGAAGUUUUUUGGUAGAAUCUUUAGGUUUUUCUAUAUGUAAAAUCAUGGUGUCUGCAAACAGGGACAAUCUGACUUUCUCCUUUCCUGCUUGGAUGCCCUUUAUUUCUUUUUCUUGCCUUAUUGCUCUGGCUAGGACUUCCAGUACUAUGUUGAAUAAGAGUGAUCAAAGGGAGCAACCUUGUCUUUUAUUUAUUUAUUUUUUUUGAGAUAGAGUCUCACUCUGUCACCCAGGCUGGAGUACAGUGGCCCAAUCUCAGCUCACUGCAACCUCUGCCUCCUGGGUUCAAGCAAUUCUUGUGCCUCAGCCUCUCAAGCAGCUGGGACUACAGGUGUGCCAGCACACUUGGCUAAAUUUUUGUAUUUUUAGUAGAGACAGGAUUUCACCAUGUUGGCCAGGCUGGUCUCAAACUCCUGGGCUCAAGUGAUCUGCCCGCCUCAGCCUCCCAAAGUGCUGAGACUACAGGUGUGAGCCACUAUGCCCGGCUGGCAACUUUGACUUGUUCCAAUUCUUAGAGGAAAAUCUUUUAGCUUUUCCCUAUUCAGUGAGAUGUUAGCUGAGGGUUGCCUUAUUUAUGCUGAGGUACUUUCUUUCUAUACCUAAUUUAUUAAGGGUUUUAAUCUUGAAGGGAUGUUGUGUUUUAUCAGAAGCUUGUUUUGCAUCUAUUGAGAUGAUAAUAUGCUUUUUGUCCUUAAUUCUAUUGAUGCAAUAUAUAACAUUUAUUGAUAUGGAUAUGUUGAACCAUUUUUCCUUUCCUGGAAUACAUUCCGUGUGAUCACUGCAUAUUAUCUUUUUGAUAUGUUAUUGGAUUUGGGUUGCUAGUAUUUUGUUGAAGAUGUUUGUGUCUGUGUUCAUCAGAGAUACUGGCCUGUAGUUUUCUUUGUUUAUUGUGUUGAUUCUGGAAUCAGGGUCAUGCUGGCCUCAUAGAAUGAGUUAAGAAGAAUUCUCUCUGCUUCAACAUUUUGGAGUAUAAGAAAAAUUGGUAUUAAUCAUUUAAAGGUUUGGCUGGGUGCAGUGGCUCACUCCUGUAAUCCCAGCACUUUGGGAGGCAGAGGAGGGUGGAUCACCUGAGGUCAGGAAUUCCAGACCAGGCUGGCCAACAUGGCAAAACCCCAUCUCUACUAAAAAUACAAAAAUAAGCUGGGUGUGGUGGCAUGUGCCUAUAGUCCCAGCUACUCAGGAAGCUGAGACAGGAGAAGCACUUGAAUCUGAGAGGCAGAGAUUGCAGUGAGCUGGGACCACACCAUUGCACUCAGACCUGGGCAACAGAGCAAGACUAUGUUUCAAAAAAAAAAUUCUUUAAAGGUUUGGUAGAACUCAGCAGUGAAGCCAUCUGGUCCCGGACUUUUCUUUGUUGAAGUACUUUUUAUUAGUGAUUCAAUCUCAGUACUUGUUAUUGAUUUGUUCAGGUUUUCUAUUUCUUCUCGGUAGGUUGUAUGUGUCCAGGAAUUUAUCCAUUUCCUCUAGGCUUUCUAAUUUAUUGGCACAUCAUUGUGCAUAGUUGUUGCUAAUGAGUCUUUGUAUUUCUAAGGUAUCCAUUACGAUAUCUUCAUUUUUGACUUUUGAUUUUAUGUAUUUGGAUCGUCUCUCUUUUUUUCUUAGUCUAAUAUUUUAUUGAUUUUUAUUAUCUUUUCAAAAAUCAAACUUUUUGUUUCAUUUAUCUUUUGUGUGUUUUUUUUCAGUCUCCAUUUUGUUUAUUUCUGCUCUGUUCUUUAUUAUUUCUUUCCUUCUACUAAAAUGGGGUUUGGUUAUUUCUUUCCUUCUACUAAUUUUGGGUUCUUGCUUUUCUAGUUCCUUGAGGUGCCAUUAGGUGAUUUAUUAGAAAUCUUAGAAAUCUUUCUAGUUUUUAGAUGUAGGCAUUAUUGCUAUAAACUUGCCUCUUAAUACUGCUUUUGCUGGGUCCCAUAAGGUUUUCUUUUGUUUGUUUGAUUUUUGUUUUGUUUUGUUUUGUUUUUUGAGAUGGAGUCUUGCUCUGUCACCUAGGCUAGACUGCAGUGGCAUAAUCUCGGUUCACUGCAACCUCCGCCUCCCGGGUUCAAGCAAUUCUCCUGCCUCAGUCUCCCAAGUAGCUGGAAUUACCAGCACUUGCCACCACACCUGGCUAAAUUUUGUGUGUGUGUUUUUAGUAGAGAUGGGGUUUCACUGUGUUAGCCAGGCUGGUCUCAAACUCCUAACCUCGUGAUCCGCCUGCAACAAACUCCCAAAGUGAGGGAUUACAGGUGUUAUCCACUGUGUGCAGCCAAGUUUUGAUAUGUUGCCUUCCUUCCUUCCUUCCUCUCUCUCUCUUUCUUUCUUUUCCUUCCUUCCUUCCCCUUCCUUCCCCUUCCUUCUCCUUCCUCCCUCCCUCCCUCUCUCCCUCUCUCUCUCUCUUUCUUUUUCUUUCUUUCUUUCUUUCUUUCUUUCUUUCUUUCUUUCUUUCUUUCGUUUUUGACUUGAAAAGCUUUGUUAAAGCAAAUUUGCACCAGUUUACAAAACUUUCUGAAGUAUCUUAACAUGCUAUCCACUAAAACUAUGCCUUAAAAGUUAGCUUUUCUAAAAAAACACAUGUUUAUCUUCACAAGGGCAAUUUCACGUAUUAAACUGUGUUUAGUGUUUUAAAAGAGUGGUAUUCCUCAAAAUAAACUAUGUAAAAAAGAUUAAUAGUCCUUCUCAUUUAUUUCCCCUAAGUUCCAUGCCUUUCUGAAGAGGCAGAUGUCUUAUGCUCAGAAUCCCUUCCUGAGCCACCCAUCCCCCCAAAAGAAUCCCUUUAUCAUGAACUUGUCUUCUGCUACCACACAAUAGUCAAUCUGAUUUUAUCCACGGCUGGAUUACUAUAUACAUAUCCCCAUUUUCUAUGACCUAGCACCACUCUCUUCAUUUAUGUGGUACCACCAUCAAUGAAAAGUCCAAGAAGAGAUGUGAGGAAUGGGUCUGUUGUUAUCAAAAAUCUUAUUUCUGACUGGAUUCAGACUUGGAAGCAGAAGCUCACAGCCAGGAAAGUCUGAGUCUCUUGGCAGUUUGUUCCUGGGGCUUCUCUUUAGCCUCCUUCAUGCUCUUGGACAAAAGUUUAGCGUAUUCUGCAGCCUCUUCAUAUUUUCUUAGUGCACAAUUUCUUCAGAGCAGCCUACAAGUAUACCAAAAGAGGGAAAAAAUGCUAAAAGGGUAAAAGAAAGGCCUACAGGAUUUAUACAACACCACUAAGUGAA
Molecule: long non-coding RNA, 3640 nt
Filed under: Papio anubis (olive baboon)
Lineage: Eukaryota; Metazoa; Chordata; Mammalia; Primates; Cercopithecidae
Description: lncRNA (ENSPANG00000047972.1)
Source: RNAcentral